This 214-nucleotide unclassified non-coding RNA is filed under the name uncultured Rhizophydiales. Its description in RNAcentral is "sequence contains ITS1". Lineage: Eukaryota; Fungi; Chytridiomycota; Chytridiomycetes; Rhizophydiales. The record is from RNAcentral.
ACGAAUAUCUAUGGCGUUGGUUGUAGUCUACCCUUUAAAGGUGUGAUUCGCCUAGAAAUAUCAAUUCACCCAAUGUGCACUGUUUCUGUUUUUCGGGUGAUUUUUGAAUUUUACAGUACUUUUCUGGGUACAGUAAAAAGAAGAGAUUGCCCGGCAGUUAUAAACCCAACCAUAAUUUUAUUUGUCUGAUAAUUUCUGAAAAUGAAAUGAUAAA